AUUUAGAAUUGAAGAAGUGGAGUAACAGGAAGAGGCUGUCGGCUGGCACUGUUACUCUUGCAUACACAAGGAGAUUUAUUUUAAUCCCAUGAACUUCUGCUUUCCACAGCGAGAAGACCCCGGGGGGAGCAACCGAUGAAGUGAAACUGCUUCUAACCCAGCGUGGGGUGUCUAUGGAGGAGUUAAAGCCCAGAGGUAAAAUAACUUGCCCAAGAUGACCCAGUGAAUAAGCAGAGAUUUGAACCCAGACCUGUUUGGUACCUUCUGGAUGGUAGCUAAACCCAAAUGGAAGGCACCUGAAACCUUGAAAUGAGGUAGCUUAGGAUGUAAUCACAUCCUAAGGACGGAAUCACCGAGGUUGAAUCCAUUGACCUGAUCACCUGCCGUGGCGGCCACUUCCUCCCUUCCCAUCCCAUGCACCUCUCUCGGAAGCUUCAUGCUAUGGGACACUCUGCUAGGUGCCACGAAGUUCAAGAGACUUUGCCUACAUGUGUAUACAUUCUUAGGAAAUUUAACCACCAUACUGGUUUUCCACAGCAUCUUAGAGCACUUUGAUGAUGCCUUUCUUCAAGGUGUAGGUCAGUUAUCCCUUUCUUUUUUUUUUUUUUUAACUUUAAACAAAUUUUUAU
Molecule: long non-coding RNA, 629 nt
Organism: Sapajus apella (tufted capuchin)
Lineage: Eukaryota; Metazoa; Chordata; Mammalia; Primates; Cebidae
Exons: 3
Source: RefSeq, a predicted model, not a curated record